Molecule: small nucleolar RNA, 66 nt
Filed under: Leptobrachium leishanense (Leishan spiny toad)
Lineage: Eukaryota; Metazoa; Chordata; Amphibia; Anura; Megophryidae
Source: RNAcentral
UUGCAGUGAUGAGUAUAACUAGCUCACUUUGAAAUGCAUAUGAAAAGCGAAGAACUCCUGAGCAAA